This 815-nucleotide ribosomal RNA is filed under the name Treponema endosymbiont of Eucomonympha sp. RNAcentral describes it as "bacterial SSU rRNA". It matches the Rfam family "Bacterial small subunit ribosomal RNA", at positions 278 to 1088 of the family's 1533-position model. Lineage: Bacteria; Pseudomonadati; Spirochaetota; Spirochaetia; Treponematales; Treponemataceae. The record is from RNAcentral.
GAUAGGUAUCCGGCCUAAGAGGGUGAACGGACACAUUGGGACUGAGAUACGGCCCAAACUCCUGCGGGAGGCAGCAGCUAAGAAUAUUCCGCAAUGGGCGAAAGCCUGACGGAGCGACGCCGCGUGUAUGACGAAGGCCGAAAGGUUGUAAAAUACUUUUAAACCCGAAGAAUAAACACGGAAGGGAAUGUCCGUGCGGUGACGGUAAGGUUUGAAUAAGCAACGGCUAAUUACGUGCCAGCAGCCGCGGUAACACGUAAGUUGCAAGCGUUGUUCGGAAUUAUUGGGCGUAAAGGGCACGUAGGCGGUUGCUCAAGCUUGGUGUGAAAUGCCUCGGCUUAACCGAGGAGGUGCAUUGAGAACUAGGUGACUAGAGUUGCUGAGGAGAAGCCGGAAUUCCAGGUGUAGGGGUGAAAUCUGUAGAUAUCUGGAAGAACACCAAUGGCGAAGGCAGGCUUCUAUCAGAUAACUGACGCUGAGGUGCGAAGGUGCGGGGAGCGAACAGGAUUAGAUACCCUGGUAGUCCGCACAGUAAACGAUGUACACUAGGCGUUUGCCCAAGUGGCGAGUGCCGAAGCUAACGCGAUAAGUGUACCGCCUGGGGAGUAUACUCGCAAGGGUGAAACUCAAAGGAAUUGACGGGGGCCCGCACAAGCGGUGGAGCAUGUGGUUUAAUUCGAUGGUACGCGAGGAACCUUACCUGGGCUUGACAUAACAAGCGAUUCGCUGGAAACAGCGGAGCGUAGUAAUACGGUUUGUUACAGGUGCUGCAUGGCUGUCGUCAGCUCGUGCCGUGAGGUGUUGGGUUAAGUCCC